AAACUGGAUGUUUGGAGGUGCUGCCACCUCAGCCUCAGGAGGGUUGCCAUCCAUGCUGAGGUGGUCCUCAAGCUGAUCAGCAUCCAGAAGAUUCAGCAGAGCUGGACUGUGGGAAAACUGUGGGAAGGCUUCUUGAGGAACAAGGUGAUAAUGCUGUUAUUUAGAAGCUUUGCAGCUGAACCUAAGAAAUAUAUUUAUGCUACAACAGUGAAUGGAGCAACAGCAAAUUGUCUAAGUAUCUAUACUUAUUUAUACUUCAAGUAUUCUUGAGCCACAGCCAAGGUAUUUGUAUGUUGUGGUCAGGCACUUACCUGUGCCUGCACUUAAUUAACUCACCAGUUAUCUAUUUAUAUUUAAGUUACAGUUAAAAGUUCUAAUCAUUGAACAGGGCUUCACUAGAUAUUAAUUUUCAAGUGGUGUAGACAAAUAGGAGUGGAUUUACAGAGUGAUCUCAGUGACUUUGCACAUAUUUUAGAAGGUAUUUGAUUCAGACUAAUUCUAGGCCAUUUCUGUGGGCCAAACACCCAGGGGUUCAGUUCCUUGUGAUUUCAUCCAGAUCAUGGUGCUCAAGACUCAUUGUGUGAUGUGAACCAAAGCAUAGGAGGUGACCAGUAGUGACCAUAUACACUUCAAAUAUAUUCUAAACUGAAAAAAAACCCCAGGAGAUUUCAUCACUGUGUACCAAAAAUACAAAACACAUUUACAUGAAUGUAAACAUGAAACAAAUUAUGUAAUAUACUCAUGUUUCUGCUCUACUACAUAUCUUUGUACUGAAACACCAAAUGUUGGCCAUAAAGGGAAAGGAAAAUGAAAGAAGUCAGAUCACUUUAAUUUUGAAAAAAGCCAAACUUGGAGAAUGUUGAAUACAAGGAGAAACGGACGUACAGCUAUAAAUAUGGAAUUGCAUUUUUUUCAAAGGAGGUACUUAAAGAAAAAAUUAUCAAACAAGUUAACUA
Molecule: long non-coding RNA, 956 nt
Filed under: Parus major (Great Tit)
Lineage: Eukaryota; Metazoa; Chordata; Aves; Passeriformes; Paridae
Description: lncRNA (ENSPMJG00000012461.1)
Source: RNAcentral